Long non-coding RNA from Lycium barbarum (goji berry), 994 nucleotides. RefSeq lists it as uncharacterized. The transcript is spliced from 2 exons. Lineage: Eukaryota; Viridiplantae; Streptophyta; Magnoliopsida; Solanales; Solanaceae. The record is from RefSeq and is a predicted model, not a curated record.
CCGGCCCAAAUCUCAUUUCAAUAUACCAAACACACCCCUUAUGUUUGUCAUUUGUGUUGAAGAGGUUUUCAACCUCAAACCCUAGCCGCUUGCACUCUCUCUUGCCCUCACGUCACACAACUUGCUAGAAAUGAUAAGUUUUCAGGCGUAUGUGCUUUUAGUCAGUAUUGUCAAGGCAUUUUGGUGAUCUUGCCCUCUCUCAUCCUCACCACCGUAUGUCAACCCAAGUUGGAAGUAAACCCUCAUAUUUCUUUUACUUUUCUAUUCAAAAUAAGGAUGAAGUCCUUAAUGAUUUUUGUCAUCCUCUUCACGAUUUCUUAUUGGCUUUGGCUGAAUCAAAAGGAUUCGACAGAAAUUCUUCAAAACCCCCAAGUCCCACAUAGGUUAAAAACCUUAAGUUAGAGAUUUUUGGGGUUCUAUAUAAAGAACCCCAUUUUCUACUGUUGACACACACACAAGUUUUCACGAGCAAAAAAAGCUAGAAUUUUGAGUUUGUGAUAAAAGUGAUCCGACUAGAAUUGGAAUACUUUGUAUAUUUCUCUAAUUUUGGGAUCUUGUUUUAAAAUUUUCUUUUAUUUUGUGGCUGAGUAUGAGUGUGGAGAAAGAUAAAGGUCUCCAAAUUCAUUCUUGAUCAAAUGCUGCGCACGAGAAAGCCCCAGAUUGUUUGGCAGGUGUGUAUAGCUAGGAUCCUUGGACGUCAGCUGGGAUUGGCAAGUUCCACCUCAUUCUGGAGCUGUGCUGAGUCAUGUAUCGAUAUGUAUGAUUAUGGGUAUGUCAGGGCCCUGUCCUGACUCAUAAUGUUCAGUUUACUUCUUAGAGACUUCUGCAGACAGUGUCUUGUGGUAUGUUUGUCGAGAUGUCGACAAAGUGAUGUCACUUGAGUCAUUUGUGGAUUUUAAAAGAGUAUGUAUUUUAGAUGAUUUCAAUUGGUUUACUUAAAGUACCUAUUUGAUUGAAGGUUUUCAUAAUCGUUAUAAAGAUGAUGAUUUCUAUC